RNAcentral lists this ribosomal RNA (792 nucleotides) under uncultured bacterium. RNAcentral's name for it is "bacterial SSU rRNA". It matches the Rfam family "Bacterial small subunit ribosomal RNA", at positions 1 to 807 of the family's 1533-position model. The record is from RNAcentral.
GCCCUUAGAGUUUGAUCCUGGCUCAAGACGAACUCUGGCGGCGCGCCUAACACAUGCAAGUCGAACGGAGCUUAGAGAGCUUGCUUUUUAAGCUUAGUGGCGAACGGGUGAGUAACGCGUGAGUAACCUGCCCUAGAGUGGGGGACAACAGUUGGAAACGACUGCUAAUACCGUAUAAGCCCACGGUGCCGCAUGACACUGAGGGAAAAGGAUUUAUUCGCUUCAGGAUGGACUCGCGUCCAAUUAGCUAGUUGGUGAGGUAACGGCCCACCAAGGCGACGAUUGGUAGCCGGACUGAGAGGUUGAACGGCCACAUUGGGACUGAGACACGGCCCAGACUCCUACGGGAGGCAGCAGUGGGGGAUAUUGCACAAUGGGGGAAACCCUGAUGCAGCGACGCCGCGUGGUGGAAGAAGGUUUUCGGAUUGUAAACUCCUGUCGUUAGGGACGAUAAUGACGGUACCUAACAAGAAAGCACCGGCUAACUACGUGCCAGCAGCCGCGGUAAAACGUAGGGUGCAAGCGUUGUCCGGAAUUACUGGGUGUAAAGGGAGCGCAGGCGGGAAGACAAGUUGGAAGUGAAAACCAUGGGCUCAACCCAUGAAUUGCUUUCAAAACUGUUUUUCUUGAGUAGUGCAGAGGUAGAUGGAAUUCCCGGUGUAGCGGUGGAAUGCGUAGAUAUCGGGAGGAACACCAGUGGCGAAGGCGGUCUACUGGGCACCAACUGACGCUGAGGCUCGAAAGCAUGGGUAGCAAACAGGAUUAGAUACCCUGGUAGUCCAUGCCGUAAAC